AUUGAACGCUGGCGGCGUGCUUAACACAUGCAAGUCGAUCGGUAACAGGUGUAGCAAUACAUGCUGACGAGAGGCGGACGGGUGAGUAAUGCUUGGGAAUCUGCCUAUUAGUGGGGGACAACCCGGGGAAACUCGGGCUAAUACCGCAUACGCUCUACGGAGGAAAGCCGGGGACCGCAAGGCCUGGCGCUAAUAGAUGAGCCCAAGUCGGAUUAGCUAGUUGGUAGGGUAACGGCCUACCAAGGCGACAAUCCGUAGCUGGUCUGAGAGGACGACCAGCCACACCGGAACUGAGACACGGUCCGGACUCCUACGGGAGGCAGCAGUGGGGAAUAUUGGACAAUCGGGGCAACCCUGAUCCAGCGACGCCGCGUGGGUGAAGAAGGCCUGCGGGUUGUAAAGACCCUUUCGGUGGGAAGGAAAAGUCUCGACCUAAUACGUCGGGACCUUGACGU
This 455-nucleotide ribosomal RNA is filed under the name uncultured bacterium. Its description in RNAcentral is "bacterial SSU rRNA". It matches the Rfam family "Bacterial small subunit ribosomal RNA", at positions 29 to 475 of the family's 1533-position model. The record is from RNAcentral.